Molecule: ribosomal RNA, 492 nt
Filed under: uncultured bacterium
Lineage: Bacteria
Description: partial 16S ribosomal RNA
Rfam family: Bacterial small subunit ribosomal RNA
Source: RNAcentral
AGUGAACGCUGGCGGUAGACCUAACACAUGCAAGUCGAACGGCAGCACAGUAAGAGCUUGCUCUUACGGGUGGCGAGUGGCGGACGGGUGAGGAAUACAUCGGAAUCUACUUUUUCGUGGGGGAUAACGUAGGGAAACUUACGCUAAUACCGCAUACGACCUACGGGUGAAAGCAGGGGAUCUUCGGACCUUGCGCGAUUGAAUGAGCCGAUGCCGGAUUAGCUAGUUGGCGGGGUAAAGGCCCACCAAGGCGACGAUCCGUAGCUGGUCUGAGAGGAUGAUCAGCCACACUGGAACUGAGACACGGUCCAGACUCCUACGGGAGGCAGCAGUGGGGAAUAUUGGACAAUGGGCGCAAGCCUGAUCCAGCCAUACCGCGUGGGUGAAGAAGGCCUUCGGGUUGUAAAGCCCUUUUGUUGGGAAAGAAAAGCAGCAGGUUAAUACCCCGCUGUUCUGACGGUACCCAAAGAAUAAGCACCGGCUAACUUCGUG